GUGCUGGUUUCGGCAACACAUAUACCAAAAUUCGAACGAUACAGGGAAGAUUAGCAUGUGCAAAGAUGACACACAGAUUCGUGAAGCAUUCCAUAAUUUA
RNAcentral lists this small nuclear RNA (100 nucleotides) under Salvator merianae (Argentine black and white tegu). The record is from RNAcentral. Lineage: Eukaryota; Metazoa; Chordata; Lepidosauria; Squamata; Teiidae.